This 565-nucleotide ribosomal RNA is filed under the name uncultured Bacteroidota bacterium. RNAcentral's name for it is "bacterial SSU rRNA". It matches the Rfam family "Bacterial small subunit ribosomal RNA", at positions 1 to 554 of the family's 1533-position model. The record is from RNAcentral. Lineage: Bacteria; Pseudomonadati; Bacteroidota.
GGAUCCAGACUUUGAUCAUGGCUCAGGAUGAACGCUAGCUACAGGCUUAACACAUGCAAGUCGAGGGGAAACGACAUCGAAAGCUUGCUUUUGAUGGGCGUCGACCGGCGCACGGGUGAGUAACGCGUAUCCAACCUGCCCAUCACUUGGGGAUAACCUUGCGAAAGUAAGACUAAUACCCAAUGAUAUCUCUAGAAGACAUCUGAAAGAGAUUAAAGAUUUAUCGGUGAUGGAUGGGGAUGCGUCUGAUUAGCUUGUUGGCGGGGUAACGGCCCACCAAGGCGACGAUCAGUAGGGGUUCUGAGAGGAAGGUCCCCCACAUUGGAACUGAGACACGGUCCAAACUCCUACGGGAGGCAGCAGUGAGGAAUAUUGGUCAAUGGACGAGAGUCUGAACCAGCCAAGUAGCGUGCAGGAUGACGGCCCUAUGGGUUGUAAACUGCUUUUAUAAGGGAAUAAAGUGAGAGUCGUGACUCUUUUUGCAUGUACCUUAUGAAUAAGGACCGGCUAAUUCCGUGCCAGCAGCCGCGGUAAUACGGAAGGUCCGGGCGUUAUCCGGAUUUAU